AAAGUGGCAGUUUUGCAUAAUAUUUGGAAUAAUUACAUAUGUACGAUCAUUUUACCAGAAGUACAAUAAUUUCAACCUGUGUAGUACGAUAAUAUGGCCAAAACAAUCUGGCAACGCUGGACUUGAGAAGCAGUGACAGGUGGCGCUGGGGAGGGAUGGAGGGGGGACAGGCGGCUGGGUGGCUGCAUCGUUUUGGUCAGCACUGGUCAGUCUUGCCCCACACGCCCUAUUAACCAGUGUUUUCGUAUUCCCGGCAGUUUCUCCUUGCACCGAGCACCGCCAAGCAGCACCAGAGAGGCACGAGUACAUAAGCAAAGAAAAGGAGACACAGGAGUAAGAGAAGAAAAGAAUGGGAAAAUGAGAACAGGAGGAUGAAAGAAGAGAAGGAAGAAGAGAAAAAAAAAGAAUAAAGAGAGAACGAGAAUAUGACAGCAUGGAAAAGGAGAUACAGGAGGAGGAGGAGGAAAAGAAGUAAAGAAACACAAAGACAAUGAGAAUAAGAAUGUGAAGAGUAUGGAGAGAAGAGAGAGAGAGAGAGAACAACAUGAAGGAAGAGUAGGAAGAAAAGAAGAAAGAAGAGUAAGGAAAAGAGAAGAAAGAAAAGAAAGAAGAUGAGUAGGAAGAGUAAGAAGGAAGAUGAGUAAGAAGAGAGAAGAGAAAGAAAAAGAAUAAAAAGAAGAAAAGAAGGAAGAAGAGAAGAAAUAAGCCUACCUGGAAAACAGCUUGCGUGAGGGAGCCUGUGGAACAAUAGAAGAUCCUGAGGGAAGCCGUCCAACACUUGACCGUCAGGCUCUCACUCAGGAUGAAUCUCUUCACACUCCUGUAAACAGAACAGAACAACUCAUAGGAAUGAUAAACUAAACAAAAUUGGACUUGAAAAGGGGAUAGGGAGGAACUGGUUCAUAAAUAGAGUUAGGUUCUAAGACUGAAUGCAUCUCUUCGCACUUCUGUAAAGCAUCAGCAGAAUAUUAGUCACAUUUUAAACUCAUACUAAGCUGUCUACAUACAUACAUACUAGGACAUCAAUAAAUGCUUGUUAUUAAAA
Long non-coding RNA from Scylla paramamosain (green mud crab), 1045 nucleotides. RefSeq lists it as uncharacterized. The transcript is spliced from 2 exons. The record is from RefSeq and is a predicted model, not a curated record. Lineage: Eukaryota; Metazoa; Arthropoda; Malacostraca; Decapoda; Portunidae.